GGAUCUGCGGUGGGUACCGGGCAGACUAGAGUGAUGUAGGGGGAGACUGGAAUUCCUGGUGUAGCGGUGAAAUGCGCAGAUAUCAGGAGGAACACCGAUGGCGAAGGCAGGUCUCUGGGCAUUAACUGACGCUGAGGAGCGAAAGCAUGGGGAGCGAACAGGAUUAGAUACCCUGGUAGUCCAUGCCGUAAACGUUGGGCACUAGGUGUGGGGGACAUUCCACGUUUUCCGCGCCGUAGCUAACGCAUUAAGUGCCCCGCCUGGGGAGUACGGCCGCAAGGCUAAAACUCAAAGGAAUUGACGGGGGCCCGCACAAGCGGCGGAGCAUGCGGAUUAAUUCGAUGCAACGCGAAGAACCUUACCAAGGCUUGACAUAAACCGGAAAGACCUGGAAACAGGUCCCCCACUUGUGGCCGGUUUACAGGUGGUGCAUGGCUGUCGUCAGCUCGUG
Molecule: ribosomal RNA, 451 nt
Filed under: uncultured Arthrobacter sp.
Lineage: Bacteria; Bacillati; Actinomycetota; Actinomycetes; Micrococcales; Micrococcaceae
Description: bacterial SSU rRNA
Rfam family: Bacterial small subunit ribosomal RNA
Source: RNAcentral